Molecule: long non-coding RNA, 1147 nt
Organism: Canis lupus familiaris (dog)
Lineage: Eukaryota; Metazoa; Chordata; Mammalia; Carnivora; Canidae
Exons: 2
Source: RefSeq, a predicted model, not a curated record
UAGCUGUGCUGCCCAGUACAGUGGCCACUAGCUACAUGAGACCACUGAGCACUUGCAACGUGGCUACUGCUACAGAGGAACUAAUGUUUCGUUUUAUUUAUUUAAUUUAAAUAGCCACAUGUGGCUAGGGCUACGCUACUGACCAGCGCAGCAUCCUGUGAAAGAGGGCUGAUGUGUUCAUUGUGGGAUCCAGGUAAACAAGCAAACUCCAUCCACCACCACCUCUCAGAGCUCAUGUCCAGCCUGAAGGGCACUAGACAGGGAGAUUAAAUUCAAAGAAAACCGCAGGAAAAGAGGAGCUCUAUGUCAGCUGUACCAAAGACAACAGGUACAGAAAACAGCCCAAACUAAAACUCUCACCCCUACGGACUUUGCCCUCCUCUGCUGGAGAAAGCAAUUAACGCCAGCAGCACUAGAAGUGCCAGCAGCCACCACGCACCCCAGGCAGUGGGGCAUUUCCCAGCUUCCUCAGAGCAAGCAGGCCUCACUCUCAGGGAUGACCUAAAACACCCCUUGGUUGACUAAAGCCAGGGUCGCAAAGACCUCAAAAUUUCCCAUCAGGAAAAUAAAUCAUCUGCAUGCUUUCAAACAUAACUGGAUUCCUGCCCAGGUACAGUACAAAGGCCAAAUUCAAACCUGACCAAGAACUCCAGAUUAACGUGUGUGGUCUUCCAGCCUUGAUUCCCGCCUCCCACAUGUCAAGGCCCUCUGCCCAGCACCUGCCUAGGCACAUGCUCUGAAUCUACCACCGAGUGUGAUUACCUGAGCCGAGAAGUAUUGCCUCGGCCUUCUAGAAUACCCAAUGAACACAGCCGGAUGCGGGAGCAGGAGAGGCCAGGUGGGUGUCGGGAACCACCUGUCCUCCCUCACCAGCUCCCACUGUAAAGGAGAGGCCGCUGGGCAGCCCACCAGGCAGCCGGCCUGCUGCAGGGCCACGGCCCUGGAGGAGAGGGACGGGGGAGGAAAGAAAGAUCUCUACCAAGAGCGCGGGGGGCAGGGGGGCGGCCAGUGCCCUCCAUCAAAGACUAGAGGCUGUGACUGAAGUUUGAAGUUUACUGGAAGAUGGUUUUCCCCUUCUAUAAAAAGAGAAAAAAAAAAAAAAAAGAAAAGAAAGGAAAAGAAAAGAUCGUGUUGCAACUUCCUUCAC